GAGGGUAUAGCUCAGUGGUAGAGUGCAUGCUCAUGUGUGAGGUCCUGGGUUCAAUCCCCAGUACCUCUG
RNAcentral lists this transfer RNA (69 nucleotides) under Camelus bactrianus (Bactrian camel). It matches the Rfam family "tRNA". From Rfam's summary of the family: Transfer RNA (tRNA) molecules are approximately 80 nucleotides in length. Their secondary structure includes four short double-helical elements and three loops (D, anti-codon, and T loops). Lineage: Eukaryota; Metazoa; Chordata; Mammalia; Artiodactyla; Camelidae. RNAcentral also lists the same sequence under 2 other names. The record is from Rfam by way of RNAcentral.